Non-coding RNA from Neoarius graeffei (lesser salmon catfish), 82 nucleotides. NCBI's taxonomy places the organism in Eukaryota, Metazoa, Chordata, Actinopteri, Siluriformes, Ariidae. The record is from the annotation of a RefSeq genome assembly.
GUAGUCAUGGCUGAGUGGUGAAGGCAAUGUAUUUGAAAUCCAUUGGGGUUUUCCUGCGCAGGUUCGGAUCCUGCUGGCUACG